This 459-nucleotide ribosomal RNA is filed under the name uncultured bacterium. RNAcentral describes it as "partial 16S ribosomal RNA". It matches the Rfam family "Bacterial small subunit ribosomal RNA", at positions 338 to 795 of the family's 1533-position model. The record is from RNAcentral.
CCUACGGGAGGCUGCAGUGAGGAAUAUUGGUCAAUGGCCGUAAGCCUGAACCAGCCAAGUAGCGUGAGGGAAGACUGCCCUAUGGGUUGUAAACCUCUUUUAUGCGGGGAUAAAGGUGUCCACGUGUGGAUGUUUGCAGGUACCGCAUGAAUAAGGAUCGGCUAAUUCCGUGCCAGCAGCCGCGGUAAUACGGAAGAUCCGGGCGUUAUCCGGAUUUAUUGGGUUUAAAGGGAGCGUAGGCGGUUCUUUAAGGUAGCGGUAAAAUUUUGGGGCUCAACCGUAGGGGGCCGCUGAAACUGGGGGCCUUGAGUGUGCGGAAGGCAUGCGGAAUUCGUGGUGUAGCGGUGAAAUGCUUAGAUAUCACGAAGAACCCCGAUUGCGAAGGCAGCGUACCGCAGCAUUACUGACGCUGAGGCUCGAAAGCGCGGGUAUCGAACAGGAUUAGAUACCCGAGUAGUC